GAUCAUGACUGACAGCCUCAUU
Molecule: microRNA, 22 nt
Filed under: Aegilops tauschii
Lineage: Eukaryota; Viridiplantae; Streptophyta; Magnoliopsida; Poales; Poaceae
Description: ata-miR167c-3p
Gene: ata-miR167c-3p
Source: miRBase by way of RNAcentral